Molecule: ribosomal RNA, 497 nt
Filed under: uncultured bacterium
Lineage: Bacteria
Description: partial 16S ribosomal RNA
Rfam family: Bacterial small subunit ribosomal RNA
Source: RNAcentral
GAUGAACGCUGGCGGCGUGCCUAAUACAUGCAAGUCGAGCGAACAGACGAGGAGCUUGCUCCUCUGACGUUAGCGGCGGACGGGUGAGUAACACGUGGAUAACCUACCUAUAAGACUGGGAUAACUUCGGGAAACCGGAGCUAAUACCGGAUAAUAUAUUGAACCGCAUGGUUCAAUAGUGAAAGACGGUUUUGCUGUCACUUAUAGAUGGAUCCGCGCCGCAUUAGCUAGUUGGUAAGGUAACGGCUUACCAAGGCGACGAUGCGUAGCCGACCUGAGAGGGUGAUCGGCCACACUGGAACUGAGACACGGUCCAGACUCCUACGGGAGGCAGCAGUAGGGAAUCUUGCGCAAUGGGCGAAAGCCUGACGGAGCAACGCCGCGUGAGUGAUGAAGGUCUUCGGAUCGUAAAACUCUGUUAUUAGGGAAGAACAAAUGUGGAAGUAACUAUGCACGUCUUGACGGUACCUAAUCAGAAAGCCACGGCUAACUACGUG